CAGAACGUAAACAUGCCGGAAAAAUUGUAAUAGAAAUAUAAAGUUCAAAGUUGUAAAAAUCAAAGAUAUUUUGAAGGAUUUCUCGUUAAUUUUUCACUUGAUCGCUGAAAGAUGUCACAGAUUGAGAAACUGCAAAUUGAAGGCAUCCGAAGCUACCGUGAACCUGCUGUCAUCGAGUUUUUUACUCCGCUCACAUUGAUAGUUGGGUCAAAUGGUGCUGGGAAAACGGUUUGUUUUUAUAUUGUAUUUUUGUAUGAAAUAGUGUUGUUUUAUAUAGAUCAUGCUCAACUAACGUUGUGCUUUGUUGCAGACAAUCAUUGAAGCACUUAAUUACAUAACAACCGGAGAUAUGCCACCGAACAGUAAAGGAGCUGCCUUUGUAUUUGAUCCAAAGGU
Non-coding RNA from Paramuricea clavata, 396 nucleotides. NCBI's taxonomy places the organism in Eukaryota, Metazoa, Cnidaria, Anthozoa, Malacalcyonacea, Plexauridae. The record is from the annotation of a GenBank genome assembly.